GACGUAGGGCGCGAGCGUUGUCCGGCUUUAUUGGGCGUAAAGAGCUCGUAGGCGGCUUGUCGCGUCGUUCGUGAAAACCCGGGGCUCAACUCCGGGCUUGCGGGCGAUACGGGCAGGCUAGAGUUCGGUAGGGGAGACUGGAAUUCCUGGUGUAGCGGUGAAAUGCGCAGAUAUCAGGAGGAACACCGGUGGCGAAGGCGGGUCUCUGGGCCGAUACUGACGCUGAGGAGCGAAAGCGUGGGGAGCGAACAGG
This 253-nucleotide ribosomal RNA is filed under the name uncultured bacterium. RNAcentral describes it as "partial 16S ribosomal RNA". It matches the Rfam family "Bacterial small subunit ribosomal RNA", at positions 524 to 776 of the family's 1533-position model. The record is from RNAcentral.